Molecule: long non-coding RNA, 225 nt
Filed under: Theobroma cacao (cacao)
Lineage: Eukaryota; Viridiplantae; Streptophyta; Magnoliopsida; Malvales; Malvaceae
Description: long non-coding RNA (TCAC_LNC004934)
Source: RNAcentral
CUACAUAUUUUGAGGAUGCCAGUCCAAUUGUAAUCCUCGAUGAAAUGAGCUAUCUACCAACUAUCCUGAGCCUGAAAUGGGUGGAAAGGAGGGUGGUGAGAUUAUAUAAUCCCAGUGAGUAAACAAAUAUCAUUUAAAAUAUCUAAAGGCGAGUAAAAUGAGACUAUUAAAACAUUUCAUCAAACUGUAAUUUAUCAUCUUUCGACUUAUUUCAACCAAAUGAAA